GACGAACGCUGGCGGCGUGCUUAACACAUGCAAGUCGAACGAUGAUCAGGAGCUUGCUCCUGUGAUUAGUGGCGAACGGGUGAGUAACACGUGAGUAACCUGCCCCUGACCCUGGGAUAAGCGUUGGAAACGACGUCUAAUACUGGAUACGACUGCCGGCCGCAUGGUCUGGUGGUGGAAAGAUUUUUUGGUUGGGGGUGGACUCGCGGCCUAUCAGCUUGUUGGUGAGGUAAUGGCUCACCAAGGCGACGACGGGUAGCCGGCCUGAGAGGGUGACCGGCCACACUGGGACUGAGACACGGCCCAGACUCCUACGGGAGGCAGCAGUGGGGAAUAUUGCACAAUGGGCGAAAGCCUGAUGCAGCAACGCCGCGUGAGGGAUGACGGCCUUCGGGUUGUAAACCUCUUUUAGUAGGGAAGAAGCGAAAGUGACGGUACCUGCAGAAAAAGCACCGGCUAACUACGUGCCAGCAGCCGCAGUAA
Molecule: ribosomal RNA, 483 nt
Filed under: uncultured bacterium
Lineage: Bacteria
Description: partial 16S ribosomal RNA
Rfam family: Bacterial small subunit ribosomal RNA
Source: RNAcentral